Molecule: small nuclear RNA, 107 nt
Filed under: Salvator merianae (Argentine black and white tegu)
Lineage: Eukaryota; Metazoa; Chordata; Lepidosauria; Squamata; Teiidae
Source: RNAcentral
GUGCUCGCUUUGGCAGCACGUAUACUAAAACUGGAACAAGACAGAGAAGGUUAGCAUGGCUCCUGCACAAGGAUGACACGUAAAUUCGUCAAGCAUUCCAUUUUAAA